UCCCUGAGACCCUAGCUUGUGA
Molecule: non-coding RNA, 22 nt
Filed under: Limulus polyphemus (Atlantic horseshoe crab)
Lineage: Eukaryota; Metazoa; Arthropoda; Merostomata; Xiphosura; Limulidae
Also listed under: 2 other names
Source: RNAcentral